AAUGGGCGAAAGCCUGAUCCAGCCAUGCCGCGUGUGUGAAGAAGGUCUUCGGAUUGUAAAGCACUUUAAGUUGGGAGGAAGGGCUGUAAAUUAAUACUUUGCUGUUUUGACGUUACCGACAGAAUAAGCACCGGCUAACUCUGUGCCAGCAGCCGCGGUAAUACGA
RNAcentral lists this ribosomal RNA (166 nucleotides) under uncultured bacterium. Its description in RNAcentral is "16S ribosomal RNA". It matches the Rfam family "Bacterial small subunit ribosomal RNA", at positions 370 to 528 of the family's 1533-position model. The record is from RNAcentral.